RNAcentral lists this ribosomal RNA (714 nucleotides) under Lentilactobacillus parabuchneri. Its description in RNAcentral is "bacterial SSU rRNA". It matches the Rfam family "Bacterial small subunit ribosomal RNA", at positions 85 to 784 of the family's 1533-position model. The record is from RNAcentral. Lineage: Bacteria; Bacillati; Bacillota; Bacilli; Lactobacillales; Lactobacillaceae.
AUUGAGACGAGUGGCGAACUGGUGAGUAACACGUGGGUAACCUGCCCUUGAAGUAGGGGAUAACACUUGGAAACAGGUGCUAAUACCGUAUAACAACCAAAACCACCUGGUUUUGGUUUAAAAGAUGGCUUCGGCUAUCACUUUAGGAUGGACCCGCGGCGUAUUAGCUUGUUGGUAAGGUAACGGCCUACCAAGGCAAUGAUACGUAGCCGACCUGAGAGGGUAAUCGGCCACAUUGGGACUGAGACACGGCCCAAACUCCUACGGGAGGCAGCAGUAGGGAAUCUUCCACAAUGGACGAAAGUCUGAUGGAGCAACGCCGCGUGAGUGAUGAAGGGUUUCGGCUCGUAAAACUCUGUUGUUGGAGAAGAACAGGUGUGAGAGUAACUGUUCACAUCUUGACGGUAUCCAACCAGAAAGCCACGGCUAACUACGUGCCAGCAGCCGCGGUAAUACGUAGGUGGCAAGCGUUGUCCGGAUUUAUUGGGCGUAAAGCGAGCGCAGGCGGUUUCUUAGGUCUGAUGUGAAAGCCUUCGGCUUAACCGGAGAAGUGCAUCGGAAACCAGGAGACUUGAGUGCAGAAGAGGACAGUGGAACUCCAUGUGUAGCGGUGAAAUGCGUAGAUAUAUGGAAGAACACCAGUGGCGAAGGCGGCUGUCUGGUCUGUAACUGACGCUGAGGCUCGAAAGCAUGGGUAGCGAACAGGAUUAGAUA